AUUGAACGCUGGCGGCAUGCCUUACACAUGCAAGUCGAACGGCAGCGGACCUUCGGGUGCCGGCGAGUGGCGAACGGGUGAGUAAUGCAUCGGAACGUGCCAUUGAGUGGGGGAUAACGUAGCGAAAGUUACGCUAAUACCGCAUAUUCUGUGAGCAGGAAAGCAGGGGACCGCAAGGCCUUGCGCUCUUUGAGCGGCCGAUGUCAGAUUAGCUAGUUGGUGAGGUAAAGGCUUACCAAAGCGACGAUCUGUAGCGGGUCUGAGAGGAUGAUCCGCCACACUGGAACUGAGACACGGUCCAGACUCCUACGGGAGGCAGCAGUGGGGAAUUUUGGACAAUGGGCGCAAGCCUGAUCCAGCCAUGCCGCGUGAGUGAAGAAGGCC
This 384-nucleotide ribosomal RNA is filed under the name uncultured bacterium. RNAcentral's name for it is "bacterial SSU rRNA". It matches the Rfam family "Bacterial small subunit ribosomal RNA", at positions 30 to 416 of the family's 1533-position model. The record is from RNAcentral.